GAUCAAACAAGAUAAAGCGCACGGUGAAUGCCUUGGCAUCGAGAGGCGAUGAAGGACGUGCUAAGCUGCGAAAAGCCUGGGGGAGCUGCACAGAAGCUGUGAUCUCAGGAUGUCCGAAUGGGGAAACCCGGCUGGUCGCGAGGCCAGUCACCCGAAAGGGAGCCAACCCUGGGAACUGAAACAUCUAAGUACCGGGUGGAAAAGAAAUCAAUUGAGAUUCUCCUAGUAGCGGUGAGCGAACGGGGAAGAGGCCAAACCCGACGAGCUUGCUCGUUGGGGGUUGUGGGACCGCGACAUGGGAUGUACGACGCGAGGGUGAAACGGCGUGGAAUAGCCUGCCAUAGACGGUGAAAGCCCGGUAACCGGUUGCGUACGACCUCUAGCGGUAUCCCGAGUAAUGCCGGGCACGUGGAAUCCGGCAUGAAUCUGGGGCGACCACGCUCCAAGCCUAAAUACUCCUCGAUGACCGAUAGUGGACAAGUACCGUGAGGGAAAGGUGAAAAGUACGCCAGGUGGCGAGUGAAAUAGUACCUGAAACCGUGCGCUGACAAGCGGUAGGAGCCCCGUAAGGGGUGACUGCGUGCCUUUUGCAUUAUGAUCCGGCGAGUUACUCCUCACGUGCAUGGUUAAGGCCUUCAGGGCCGUAGCCAAAGCGAAAGCGAGUCUGAAUAGGGCGCUAAGUACGUGGGGGUAGACCCGAAGCCGUGGCGAUCUACCCUUGGUCAGGUUGAAGCCGCCGUAACAGGCGGUGGAGGACCGAACUCAUGUGGGUUGAAAACCGCUGGGAUGAACUGAGGGUAGGGGUGAAAGGCCAAUCAAGCUCGGAGAUAGCUGGUUCUCCCCGAAAUAUAUUUUGGUAUGGCCUCGGGAAUUGAGUUCACAGGAGGUAGAGCACUGGAUGGGUCCGGGCGGCGUUAUAGCCGUACCUCCCCCAACCAAACUCCGAAUGCCUGUUGAAUGCUGCCCGGGAGGCAGUCGCGGUGUGCUAAUGUACCGCGGCGAGAGGGAAAGAACCCAGAGCAUCUGCUAAGGCCCCGGAGUGACGGCUCAGUGUAGCAAAGGAUGUGGGUAUGCGCUGACAGCUGGGAGGUUGGCUUAGAAGCAGCCAUUCCUUUAAAGAGUGCGUAAUAGCUCACCAGUCAAGCGUAGCCGCGCCGAUAAUGGUCGGGACUUAAGCCGUCCGCCGAAGCAGUGUCUUUGCGCGCAAGCGCAAGGGGUAGGGGAGCGUUCUGAGAGCGUUGAAGCCGGGGUGGAAACCUUCCGGUGGAGCGAUCAGAAGUGAGGAUGCCGGAUUCAGUACGCGAGAAACAGGGUGAAAACCCCUGUCACCGUAAGCCUAAGGGUUCCUGAGCCAUGUCGAUCAGCUCAGGGUUAGUCGGUCCCUAAGUCGAGGCCGAGAGGCGUAGACGAUGGGAAACGGGUCAACAUUCCCGUACCAACGGCCAAACGUUACGAGUCUGAGGAGGGACGCAGGAGCAAGGUCACCGGCGGAUUGUGGUUGUGCCGCCGUAAGCCAGGUAGACGUUUCCCCGUAGGCAAAUCCGCGGGGAUAGUCGAGUGGCGACGCCGAAGGGGACGUAAGUCCCCGCAAAGGGUGGCCGAUGCACGCUGCCAAGAAAAUCUUCGCAGACCAGGAUGGUCGUUGACCGUACCGCAAUCCGACACAGGUAGGCGAGGCGAGCAGCCUCAGGUGCUCGAGUGAUUCACGGAGAAGGAACUCGGCAAAAUGACCCCGUAACUUCGGGAUAAGGGGUGCCGGUAGUAUGUGUCACAGCAGAGGCCGGCCGCAGAGAAUCGUCCCAAGCGACUGUUUAGCAAAAACACAGGUGUCUGCUAAGGCAUAUUCCAAGCCAACGUAUAGACACUGACUCCUGCCCGGUGCCGGAAGGUUAAGGCAAGUUGUCAGCCGCAAGGCGAAGCAGCGAACCGAAGCCCCGGUAAACGGCGGCCGUAACUAUAACGGUCCUAAGGUAGCGAAAUUCCUUGUCGGGUAAGUUCCGACCUGCACGAAUGGAGUAACGACUUGGGAGCUGUCUCCUCCGUAAGCUCGGCGAAAUAGCAGU
Molecule: ribosomal RNA, 2063 nt
Filed under: Gemmatimonadota bacterium
Lineage: Bacteria; Pseudomonadati; Gemmatimonadota
Description: Gemmatimonadetes bacterium (bioreactor metagenome) partial 23S ribosomal RNA
Rfam family: Bacterial large subunit ribosomal RNA
Source: RNAcentral